RNAcentral lists this unclassified non-coding RNA (329 nucleotides) under soil metagenome. RNAcentral's name for it is "partial contains 5.8S ribosomal RNA, internal transcribed spacer 2, and large subunit ribosomal RNA". The stretch from base 1 to 120 matches the Rfam family "5.8S ribosomal RNA", at positions 35 to 154 of the family's 154-position model. The record is from RNAcentral.
GAUGAAGAACGCAGCGAAAUGCGAUAAGUAAUGUGAAUUGCAGAAUUCAGUGAAUCAUCGAAUCUUUGAACGCACAUUGCGCCCCCUGGUAUUCCGGGGGGCAUGCCUGUCCGAGCGUCAUUACAACCCUCAAGCUCAGCUUGGUAUUGGGCCCCGCCGACCCGGCGGGCCCUAAAGUCAGUGGCGGUGCCGUCCGGCUCCGAGCGUAGUAAUUCUUCUCGCUCUGGAGGUCCGGUCGUGUGCUCGCCAGCAACCCCCAAUUUUUUUCGGGUUGACGUCGGAUCAGGUAGGGAUACCCGCUGAACUUAAGCAUAUCAAUAAGCGGAGGA